GGGCUAGCGUUGUUCGGAAUUACUGGGCGUAAAGCGCACGUAGGCGGCUUUGUAAGUUAGAGGUGAAAGCCCGGGCUCAACCCCGGAAUUGCCUUUAAGACUGCAUCGCUAGAAUUGUGGAGAGGUAAGUGGAAUUCCGAGUGUAGAGGUGAAAUUCGUAGAUAUUCGGAAGAACACCAGUGGCGAAGGCGACUUACUGGACACAUAUUGACGCUGAGGUGCGAAAGCGUGGGGAGCAAACAGG
RNAcentral lists this ribosomal RNA (244 nucleotides) under uncultured bacterium. RNAcentral describes it as "partial 16S ribosomal RNA". It matches the Rfam family "Bacterial small subunit ribosomal RNA", at positions 532 to 776 of the family's 1533-position model. The record is from RNAcentral.